Long non-coding RNA from Hevea brasiliensis (rubber tree), 410 nucleotides. RefSeq lists it as uncharacterized. NCBI's taxonomy places the organism in Eukaryota, Viridiplantae, Streptophyta, Magnoliopsida, Malpighiales, Euphorbiaceae. The transcript is spliced from 2 exons. The record is from RefSeq and is a predicted model, not a curated record.
UCCCCACUCUCCCUCUCUCUUGCCGUCCACCCUUGUGCUCCCUCUCCACUAUUUUUGUCAAGCUUUCAAGCUUGAUUUUCCAAGCUUCCACACACCAAAACUCAUAGCUCCCUUUACAAAAAUUACUCCCUACACCCUAAGGAAGCUUUAGAUACCCAUUUGAAGAAGAGAAAUUGAAGUUUGGUAAGACCCCCAAAAUGGUACUGAAGAUCAGCAGCCGCCACAGUAGUAUUCGGACAGAGUUCCGACCAGAUCUGCCACCGAUCAGAGUCACCUCACCAGUCUUUUGUAUUUUGGUAGGGCCCAUGUAUAGACUAGUAUUUUGGUUCAUUAUGUUUAGUCAUGAUGUAUUUCAUUUUAGACCUGUAAUUAAACUUUGAGAUUGAAAUGAAAACUUGUAAUUUAUUAUC